GUCAUUUCCCUCCGGACCUUGCCAGUGCUUCCGGGUUGCGGUCAUUUUGAUUCCCUGUCUGGGUGACUUUUUGGCUACCCAGUUGCUGUCGGCGUUCCAUCCCCCCCCAGCUCAGGUGCGGCCCCGCGCGACCUCCGAUUUCCGCCCUUGUUCCUCCCUUCUUCAUCCGUCUGGGCCCUCUGUCCUCGAUCGUCUGGAUUCACCGCGCCAUCGCUCGAGGCUGUCGUCUAAGGAAAGAUGAAUGGCAGGGCUGAUUUUCAGGAGCCGAAUGCUGAAGUUAGAAGACCAAUUCCCCACAUAGGAGCUGAUUACAUUCCAACAGAGGAAGAAAGAAGAGUCUUCGCAGAAUGCAAUGAUGAAAGCUUCUGGUUCAGAUCUGUGCCUUUGGCUGCAACAAGUAUGUUGAUUACUCAAGGAUUAAUUAGUAAAGGAAUCCUUUCAAGUCAUCCCAAAUAUGGUUCCAUCCCUAAACUCAUAUUUGCCUGUAUCAUGGGAUACUUUGCUGGAAAGCUUUCUUAUGUGAAAACUUGCCAAGAGAAGUUCAAGAAUCUUGAGAAUUCCCCUCUUGGAGAAGCUUUACGAUCAGGACAGGCGCGACGCUCUUCACCACAUGGGCACUACUCUCAGAAGUCAAAAUAUGACUCAAAUGUGAGUGAUCGUUCAUCUUUUGUGACAUCUCCAGCAGCAGACAACAUGGAAAAAGAGAUAUUUCCUCACUAUGAGCCAAUUCCAUUUAGUGCUUCUAUGAAUGAAUCUACUCCCACUGGUAUUACUGAUCAUAUUGCCCAAGGUAGAAACUUCUCUUGAAAUGAAUUUCAGCAUUUAAUGGUCCAACGUAUGUAUAAACUUUAUUUGAUGACCUUUUCUACUGGGUAUCACCUGUAUGUUCCACCAUCAGCCUGAAUGCAGCAUGUUGGUUCAUUUGUUUUGUCAUUUAACAUUUUUUUGCGGUCCAGUCUGUUAGAUAAGACAGAAAUAUAAGGAUAAAUUACAAGAAUGUCCCAUUAAUUGAAAAUAUUAACCAAGCUUAGUGGAAUAUCAAAGGCGUGAUAAAUUGUACCUGCAAGAGGCUUUAAAAAGGUUACAUUUGUUAGGUUGGUCUUAAAGGCUUUCAGCUUCUUUGUUUGUAAUGUGAGAAAAAUAAUAAUUACCUGCUUUACAGAACGGUUGUCAAGUGAGAAAAUCCAUGUGAAAAUGCUUUGUGAAGUUUGUGUAAAUACUAGCUUUGAAGAUCACAUAAUUCAAAGUAAACAAAUAUGGAGAUACUUGGGAUGAGUGAAAAAAUGCAUCCUUGGACCUACUGAAGGAGUUUCCAUAUCCAGUUUCAUCUAGGUGGUCAUGAAUAUCUGCAUGCUUUGAGCUCAGCAGCAGUCUUCGUAAACACAUUGAAAACUAGAACCUGGGUUUUUUGUGGUUUGGCUUAUUAAAAUAAUGUUUAAAAAAAUACAAAUUUUAAUGUUAAUAUUGUGCGAAUGUAUUGACCGUGGGAAACUAUACGAAAGUUGGUAUUAUACCACAACCAUAUGCAGUUUGUGAAAUUUAAGUUACAGGACAAGGAUACUCUUCCAAAUCCAUUGAGAGAUUGUAAUGCUCUAGAAUCAGCAUGUAUGAAAAUAAAUGAUACCUGCAUGUUGAAUUGGGGUGGGUGGGGGGAAGCACGCAUAAUUUUAAGUGGUAAGCCUUACAUCAAAAAAUUGUUAAGUUUUUCUUCAGUGUUUGCUGUAUUAAUGUUUAUGGUAAAUAAAAUAUAAAGGAA
Molecule: RNA transcript, 1756 nt
Organism: Pteronotus mesoamericanus
Lineage: Eukaryota; Metazoa; Chordata; Mammalia; Chiroptera; Mormoopidae
Gene: OCIAD1
Gene name: OCIA domain containing 1
Exons: 8
Source: RefSeq, a predicted model, not a curated record